AUGUCAGAAAAGAUUUCUCUGCUGCACCCCUUUUAAUAAAAGGCCAGGGCCAAGAGAACCUCCCGGGAAAAUGUUUCAAAGCCUUUCAAUGAAGAAUUCCGGAAUACAGAGCUUCUUCCCAUACAGAACACUCAUUUCCCUUAAGAUAUGAGUUGCUAUCUCUAAUUCUUUUUGGAAAGAGGAACUGCUGCAAGGCCCACAGCAGCCGUGGGUGAAGUGGCUCUGGGGUUGGGGUAAGUGACCCGCCCAUGCACCCCAGAAGGACAACUGGCAGCCUGAUCUCGGAGCAGCAGCUACAUUCAGCCUAGCAGAGGACCCUGGGGGGUGACAGGCAACGGAUUAUGCCAAUGAAAGGCCCUAAACUAGAGCUGGCUGAGGUGCUGUCGGCCACCUUGCUAGUAAGACAAGGCAGCAGAAUGAAGUGGCAACAGCGUUGGCCGGGUACCUGGCAUCCCAGUGUGCUAGCUACAUGUCAUCUUCACAGGUGUCGUAAUGUCUCUGGGCUCAGAUGCCACACCAGCAAAAUGCAGAUUAUACAUGAGUUAGGCCAAGGCCCAGACUGUAAUAGUUUCUCAGGAAUUAUAGUCCUUCUUAAAUAAAUGCAGAAACAUUUCACAUUCAUAGAUUGGAAGCCUCGAUGUUAUUAAGACAGCAGUUCUGCCCAACGUGAUCUGUAGAUGCAACAUAAUCCCUAUGGAAAUCCCAGCAGGCUUUUCUUUUUUUUCCAGAAUUUUUUCAGUGGUUGUCAAUCUUGCUGCACAUUGGAAUCACUUGUGGGAAGUCACAAGAACGCAGAUGCCUAAUCCCGGCCUCACGGGCUCAGAUUUAAAACAGGGCUAAUGCUGCCUAGCUCACGGGGUGGUGGUGAGCUCUAGAAUGAGUUAAAGGACAUGGAGUUUCCUAGUGCAGGGUCCUGCAUGUUUGCAGCUAAUGCUGGUUUCCUUUCUGAGAUUCGUAUGCUCUUUUACUCCCACGAACUCUCGUAUUGGUAAGAAUCGAGGCAGAGCUUAAAGGCUCUCUGUAGCAUUCCAAAUAGCAAUGGUUCUUCUCCUUUCUAUAGUGUUGCAUGUGGAAAGCCUUGCCUCCUCUAGAUUAUUGCCCUGCGAGAUGUUUUUCAAAAGAGGAAAAUGAGGCCCCAUGAGAUUAGACAAGCUGCUGGAAGGCGGAUGAGCCCAGACUUGAGGUUCUCUGCAGGUCUCAUCCAGGGCUGUCUGCAUUAAAUGCGCAGCUGCCAUCGUGAAAGGUGUAUUAGAAGCCUGCUCUGACCACUCCAGUUCCCUUGGCCAGGGUCUUGCCUAAAAUGAAUGCAUAGUAUGUUAGGUAGUUAUGCGGGUGACUCUCUUGCAUGCAAUACAUCGGAAGUUGUUCCGAUUGAUAAAAAGCAAUUUUGGCCAGGCGCGGUGGCUCACGCCUGUAAUCCUAG
This is a non-coding RNA of Microcebus murinus (gray mouse lemur), 1423 nucleotides long. The record is from RefSeq and is a predicted model, not a curated record. NCBI's taxonomy places the organism in Eukaryota, Metazoa, Chordata, Mammalia, Primates, Cheirogaleidae.